GUGAAUCAUCAAAUUUUUGAACGCAAAUUGCGCUUCCUAGCAUCCCGGGAAGUAUGCCUGUUUGAUGGUCAGUAUUUACAAAAAAAUCGUUUUGGUUGCAAAUUGUGACGUUUCCGGAGUUUGGGCUUAUCUUAACUUUUUUGGUUAAGGUUCUUAAAAUUGACCUUUUUUGCGCAUUUUUAAACGUACAUAAAUUUUUUUUUAUUAGUCUAUUCUUAAUGCCAAAAUCUUAUUAUAUGCUAUCACAUCGUGUGGCUUCGUUUCUAUAA
RNAcentral lists this unclassified non-coding RNA (269 nucleotides) under Rhizophagus sp. (in: glomeromycetes). RNAcentral describes it as "partial contains 5.8S ribosomal RNA and internal transcribed spacer 2". The stretch from base 1 to 71 matches the Rfam family "5.8S ribosomal RNA", at positions 84 to 154 of the family's 154-position model. The record is from RNAcentral. Lineage: Eukaryota; Fungi; Glomeromycota; Glomeromycetes; Glomerales; Glomeraceae.